AAUCAACGCUGGCGGCGUGCCUCAGACAUGCAAGUCGAACGCGAAAGUUUCCUUCGGGAGACAAGUAGAGUGGCGCACGGGUGAGUAACACGUAGGUAAUCUACCUUUGGAUGGGGAAUAACAACCGGAAACGGUUGCUAAUACCGCAUAAUGCAGCGGCACCUAAUGGUGACAGUUGUUAAAGCGGGGGAGUCGAAAGACCUCGCGUCUGAAGAGGAGCCUGCGGCGGAUUAGCAGUUGGUAAGGUAAUGGCUUACCAAGGCUACGAUCCGUAACCGGCCUGAGAGGGGCGGGUCGGUCACACUGACACUGACAUACGGGUC
RNAcentral lists this ribosomal RNA (323 nucleotides) under uncultured bacterium. Its description in RNAcentral is "bacterial SSU rRNA". It matches the Rfam family "Bacterial small subunit ribosomal RNA", at positions 32 to 332 of the family's 1533-position model. The record is from RNAcentral.